CAAGUCGAGCGAACGGACGAGAAGCUUGCUUCUCUGAUGUUAGCGGCGGACGGGUGAGUAACACGUGGAUAACCUACCUAUAAGACUGGGAUAACUUCGGGAAACCGGAGCUAAUACCGGAUAAUAUUUUGAACCGCAUGGUUCAAAAGUGAAAGACGGUCUUGCUGUCACUUAUAGAUGGAUCCGCGCUGCAUUAGCUAGUUGGUAAGGUAACGGCUUACCAAGGCAACGAUGCAUAGCCGACCUGAGAGGGUGAUCGGCCACACUGGAACUGAGACACGGUCCAGACUCCUACGGGAGGCAGCAGUAGGGAAUCUUCCGCUAUGGGCGAAAGCCUGACGGAGCAACGCCGCGUGAGUGAUGAAGGUCUUCGGAUCGUAAAACUCUGUUAUUAGGGAAGAACAUAUGUGUAAGUAUCUGUGCACAUCUUGACGGUACCUAAUCAGAAAGCCACGGCUAACUACGUGCCAGCAGCCGCGGUAAUACGUAGGUGGCAAGCGUUAUCCGGAAUUAUUGGGCGUAAAGCGCGCGUAGGCGGUUUUUUAAGUCUGAUGUGAAAGCCCACGGCUCAACCGUGGAGGGUCAUUGGAAACUGGAAAACUUGAGUGCAGAAGAGGAAAGUGGAAUUCCAUGUGUAGCGGUGAAAUGCGCAGAGAUAUGGAGGAACACCAGUGGCGAAGGCGACUUUCUGGUCUGUAACUGACGCUGAUGUGCGAAA
Molecule: ribosomal RNA, 718 nt
Filed under: uncultured Staphylococcus sp.
Lineage: Bacteria; Bacillati; Bacillota; Bacilli; Caryophanales; Staphylococcaceae
Description: bacterial SSU rRNA
Rfam family: Bacterial small subunit ribosomal RNA
Source: RNAcentral